This 498-nucleotide ribosomal RNA is filed under the name uncultured bacterium. RNAcentral's name for it is "partial 16S ribosomal RNA". It matches the Rfam family "Bacterial small subunit ribosomal RNA", at positions 28 to 508 of the family's 1533-position model. The record is from RNAcentral.
GAUGAACGCUGGCGGCGUGCCUAAUACAUGCAAGUCGAGCGAACAGACGAGGAGCUUGCUCCUUUGACGUUAGCGGCGGACGGGUGAGUAACACGUGGAUAACCUACCUAUAAGACUGGGAUAACUUCGGGAAACCGGAGCUAAUACCGGAUAACAUGUUGAACCGCAUGGUUCAACAGUGAAAGACGGUCUUGCUGUCACUUAUAGAUGGAUCCGCGCCGCAUUAGCUAGUUGGUAAGGUAACGGCUUACCAAGGCAACGAUGCGUAGCCGACCUGAGAGGGGGGAGCGACCACCGGGGACGUGAGACCGGGCCCAGCCCCCGACGGGAGGGGGCAGGGGGGAUUUUCCGGGAGGGGGCGAAGGCCGGCGGGAGCAACCCCGCGGGAGAAAAAAGGUUUUUCGGAUCUAAAAACUUUUUAAUGGGGGAAGAACAAAUUUGAAAGAAAUUAUGCCUGUCUUGAGGGUACAAAAUCAGAAGGCCACGGCAAACCCCGGC